GUUCAUCCACGCUAUACCGUGUCCGCACUCCAUGCCUUUUUAUGUCUGAGUAAUAUUUCACAUUUGAUUCAUGCAUCUGUUGGUGGACAUUUGGGUUGUUUCAAUCUUCCGACUAUUGUGAAUACUGCUGCUAUGAAGACUGAUCAGCGGACGAAAACCUGCUAGAUGGGAGAAGGCAGACAGGUCUUUCAAUCAAGGAGGGAAGAACAGGUAUGUGAUC
RNAcentral lists this long non-coding RNA (220 nucleotides) under Mustela putorius furo (domestic ferret). Its description in RNAcentral is "lncRNA (ENSMPUG00000031310.1)". Lineage: Eukaryota; Metazoa; Chordata; Mammalia; Carnivora; Mustelidae. The record is from RNAcentral.